Molecule: long non-coding RNA, 391 nt
Organism: Gigantopelta aegis
Lineage: Eukaryota; Metazoa; Mollusca; Gastropoda; Neomphalida; Peltospiridae
Exons: 2
Source: RefSeq, a predicted model, not a curated record
CCCGUUUCUAGCUCGUAUCGUCAAGGAAGUAUUUCCUGGAAAGGACUGUGGGGUGUGUUAAAUGUUUUUGUCAGUCUAAUUAAAAAUAUAGUGUUUCUUGUUCUUAUUACCUGCUAAGUGUACCAUUAAAUGACACACAGAGGACUGAUUAGCUUACUAACGCAGAAAAUGGAUAAAAUAACAAGAGUACUGAUACCCAUUACAGUGGUGACAGCAUAUUUAACAGGACAACAGGGGAACACCAGUCAGGGUCUACACCACUGUUCAUAUUGUGAAGGACUCUGUUCAGCUUGCCAGCCAGGAUACUAUGGACAACACUGUAUGAAACAAUGCAGAGUCUGUGACCAAGACGAGAUGUGUGACCAUCAGAACGGAAACUGCGUCAAGAGAG